Molecule: ribosomal RNA, 433 nt
Filed under: uncultured bacterium
Lineage: Bacteria
Description: partial 16S ribosomal RNA
Rfam family: Bacterial small subunit ribosomal RNA
Source: RNAcentral
AACGAACGCUGGCGGCAUGCCUAACACAUGCAAGUCGAACGAAACCUUCGGGCCUAGUGGCGCACGGGUGCGUAACGCGUGGGAACCUGCCCUUAGGUUCGGAAUAACUCCCCGAAAGGGGUGCUAAUACCGGAUAAUGUCUUCGGACCAAAGAUUUAUCGCCUUUGGAUGGGCCCGCGUUGGAUUAGCUAGUUGGUAGGGUAAAAGCCUACCAAGGCGACGAUCCAUAGCUGGUCUGAGAGGAUGAUCAGCCACACUGGGACUGAGACACGGCCCAGACUCCUACGGGAGGCAGCAGUGGGGAAUAUUGGACAAUGGGGGAAAGCCUGAUCCAGCAAUGCCGCGUGAGUGAUGAAGGCCUUAGGGUUGUAAAGCUCUUUUACCCGGGAUGAUAAUGACGGUACCGGGAGAAUAAGCUCCGGCUAACUCCGUG